RNAcentral lists this transfer RNA (69 nucleotides) under Staphylococcus aureus subsp. aureus CIG1176. Its description in RNAcentral is "partial tRNA-Tyr". It matches the Rfam family "tRNA", at positions 2 to 60 of the family's 71-position model. From Rfam's summary of the family: Transfer RNA (tRNA) molecules are approximately 80 nucleotides in length. Their secondary structure includes four short double-helical elements and three loops (D, anti-codon, and T loops). Further hydrogen bonds mediate the characteristic L-shaped molecular structure. tRNAs have two regions of fundamental functional importance: the anti-codon, which is responsible for specific mRNA codon recognition, and the 3' end, to which the tRNAs corresponding amino acid is attached (by aminoacyl-tRNA synthetases). tRNAs cope with the degeneracy of the genetic code in two manners: having more than one tRNA (with a specific anti-codon) for a particular amino acid; and 'wobble' base-pairing, i.e. permitting non-standard base-pairing at the 3rd anti-codon position. The record is from RNAcentral. Lineage: Bacteria; Bacillati; Bacillota; Bacilli; Caryophanales; Staphylococcaceae.
GAGGGGUAGCGAAGUGGCUAAACGCGGCGGACUGUAAAUCCGCUCCUUCGGGUUCGGCAGUUCGAAUCU